Molecule: ribosomal RNA, 421 nt
Filed under: Mesorhabditis environmental sample
Lineage: Eukaryota; Metazoa; Nematoda; Chromadorea; Rhabditida; Rhabditidae
Description: SSU rRNA
Rfam family: Eukaryotic small subunit ribosomal RNA
Source: RNAcentral
UUCUGACCGUAAACGAUACCAUCUAGCGAUCCGGUGGUGGUUUUUCCGCCUUGCCGGGGAGCUUCCCGGAAACGAAAGACUUCCGGUUCCGGGGGUAGUAUGGUUGCAAAGCUGAAACUUAAAGGAAUUGACGGAAUCGCACCACCAGGAGUGGAGCCUGCGGCUUAAUUUGACUCAACACGGGAAAACUCACCCGGCCCGGACACUGUAAGGAUUGACAGACUGAGAGCUCUUUCUUGAUUCGGUGGUUGGUGGUGCAUGGCCGUUCUUAGUUGGUGGAGCGAUUUGUCUGGUUUAUUCCGAUAACGAGCGAGACGCACCCCUACUUAAUACACCGUGAAUAAUUUCUUUCACAGGUGUUUUUAGAGGAAUUGGCGGGAUCGAGCCGCACGAAAGUGCGCAAUAACAGGUCUGUGAUGCC